RNAcentral lists this ribosomal RNA (402 nucleotides) under uncultured bacterium. Its description in RNAcentral is "bacterial SSU rRNA". It matches the Rfam family "Bacterial small subunit ribosomal RNA", at positions 123 to 518 of the family's 1533-position model. The record is from RNAcentral.
AACCUACCUAUCAGGAGGGGAAUAACCCGGCGAAAGUCGGACUAAUACCGCAUAAAACAGGGGCACCGCAUGGUGAUAUUUGUUAAAGAAAUUCGCUGAUAGAUGGGCAUGCGUUCCAUUAGGUAGUUGGUGAGGUAACGGCUCACCAAGCCGACGAUGGAUAGGGGAACUGAGAGGUUGGUCCCCCACACUGGUACUGAGACACGGACCAGACUCCUACGGGAGGCAGCAGUGAGGAAUAUUGGUCAAGUGGGGCGGGAGCCUGAACCAGCCAAGUCGCGUAGAAGGAAGAAGGAUCUAUGGUUACGUAAACUUCCUUGCGAGGGGAAUAAAGUGCAGGACGUGUCCUGUUUUGUAUGUACCCUGAGAAUAAGGAUCGGCUAACUCCGUGCCAGCAGCCGC